GAGGUAUUAGUAUAUGAGUACAUAACUUUGUCAAAGUUAAAGUAUAAGCUAGCCCUUAUAUACCUCC
Molecule: transfer RNA, 67 nt
Filed under: Macroscelides flavicaudatus (Namib round-eared sengi)
Lineage: Eukaryota; Metazoa; Chordata; Mammalia; Macroscelidea; Macroscelididae
Description: tRNA-Asp
Source: RNAcentral